Molecule: transfer RNA, 31 nt
Filed under: Aegilops speltoides
Lineage: Eukaryota; Viridiplantae; Streptophyta; Magnoliopsida; Poales; Poaceae
Also listed under: 1 other name
Description: partial tRNA-Arg
Source: RNAcentral
GCGUCCAUUGUCUAAUGGAUAGGACAGAGGU